This 298-nucleotide long non-coding RNA is filed under the name Mytilus galloprovincialis (Mediterranean mussel). Lineage: Eukaryota; Metazoa; Mollusca; Bivalvia; Mytilida; Mytilidae. The record is from RNAcentral.
AAACAAGCAAGCAAUAACCAACACCAAAGAAACAACAGAAAUAAAGACCUAUAAUAGAAUAAGAUAAACAACAACACAGACAUAACAAAUAAAGGCAAAACAAAAGCACACAAUUACCAACACCACCGAGAUAACACAAACAAAGACAAAAACAUGUACGCUAUAUCGAACAUCACUGAGAAAACUCAACCAAAGACAAAAACAAGCACGCAAUAACCAACACCUCCGAAACAAUACAAGGAGACCAUAGAAACAAAACAAAAAACUAAAGCGUUAUUACUAACAUGGCCAAUACAAC